Molecule: long non-coding RNA, 517 nt
Filed under: Phoenix dactylifera (date palm)
Lineage: Eukaryota; Viridiplantae; Streptophyta; Magnoliopsida; Arecales; Arecaceae
Description: long non-coding RNA (PDAC_LNC014940)
Source: RNAcentral
GUAGGAACUAGAGUUUAGAAGGCUAUUGGAAUUAUUUCAAUUGGACUGUGAGCAGGUUUCAAGACUCUGUGCAGAUCUUUUAGGUGCCUGAAUGAAUGUUCAAGGAUUGGCCGAAACAAGAUGACAAAUAUACUGGUUUUAAGGUAGGCAAGGAUGUGGAAAGUAAAUUUGUUUCCUAUAUCGCUUGUUUCCUUUGAGGGAUGUAGCACAGGUUAAGCGAGAAGCGCGAUCAGAUCUGAUUUUUAAAGAAAAGAACCUCCAAGAGAAGAAGAAGAAAGAAGUUGGGGAAGAAUAAAUUACAAUGAGAAGGGGAAAUUAUGGAAAAGAACAGAGAAGAGUAAGAGUAGCUAAACCUAGCCUUUCUUCUUUUUCUUACAUCAGAAAAUCUUUUAAAUCUAUUUACGAAAGGGCUCCGAAAGCAUGACACAUGAAACCAGCUGCUGUUAGACCACAUUUUUAUCAGUUAAGCGGCCCUCACCUUGUUUUUUUGAUUCCAGCUAGGUCUCUUCCAGGUAAA